GUACACUCCUGCGGGAGGCAGCAGUGGGGAAUAUUGGACAAUGGGCGCAAGCCUGAUCCAGCCAUGCCGCGUGAGUGAUGAAGGCCCUAGGGUUGUAAAGCUCUUUCACCGGUGAAGAUAAUGACGGUAACCGGAGAAGAAGCCCCGGCUAACUUCGUGCCAGCAGCCGCGGUAAUACGAAGGGGGCUAGCGUUGUUCGGAUUUACUGGGCGUAAAGCGCACGUAGGCGGACUAUUAAGUCAGGGGUGAAAUCCCGGGGCUCAACCCCGGAACUGCCUUUGAUACUGGUAGUCUUGAGUUCGAGAGAGGUGAGUGGAAUUCCGAGUGUAGAGGUGAAAUUCGUAGAUAUUUGGAGGAACACCAGUGGCGAAGGCGGCUCACUGGCUCGAUACUGACGCUGAGGUGCGAAAGCGUGGGGAGCAAACAGGAUUAGAUACCCCAGUAGUCCCAUG
Molecule: ribosomal RNA, 452 nt
Filed under: uncultured organism
Description: partial 16S ribosomal RNA
Rfam family: Bacterial small subunit ribosomal RNA
Source: RNAcentral